AAUCAGGAUUCAGACUACAAUACAGCUGGUAAGUGCUGUGUUGUCGUUUCCCCUGCUCAAAAUAAAGUUGUUUCUUACCUGUACCUGUCUGCUAUACCCUUAUAGAGCCAAGGAUGCUUGGUCUCAUACAC
Molecule: small nucleolar RNA, 131 nt
Organism: Marmota marmota marmota (Alpine marmot)
Lineage: Eukaryota; Metazoa; Chordata; Mammalia; Rodentia; Sciuridae
Gene: SNORA63
Rfam family: Small nucleolar RNA SNORA63
About the family: E3 belongs to the H/ACA class of snoRNAs and is involved in the processing of eukaryotic pre-rRNA and has regions of complementarity to 18S rRNA.
Source: Ensembl